UCCAUUCUGCACACGUGAUUGCUAGGAAA
This 29-nucleotide small RNA is filed under the name Bombyx mori (domestic silkworm). Its description in RNAcentral is "ovarian small RNA-7242". Lineage: Eukaryota; Metazoa; Arthropoda; Insecta; Lepidoptera; Bombycidae. The record is from RNAcentral.